This 240-nucleotide ribosomal RNA is filed under the name Salmonella enterica subsp. enterica serovar Derby. RNAcentral describes it as "partial 16S ribosomal RNA". It matches the Rfam family "Bacterial small subunit ribosomal RNA", at positions 901 to 1141 of the family's 1533-position model. RNAcentral also lists the same sequence under 1 other name. The record is from RNAcentral. Lineage: Bacteria; Pseudomonadati; Pseudomonadota; Gammaproteobacteria; Enterobacterales; Enterobacteriaceae.
UCAAAUGAAUUGACGGGGGCCCGCACAAGCGGUGGAGCAUGUGGUUUAAUUCGAUGCAACGCGAAGAACCUUACCUGGUCUUGACAUCCACAGAACUUUCCAGAGAUGGACUGGUGCCUUCGGGAACCGUGAGACAGGUGCUGCAUGGCUGUCGUCAGCUCGUGUUGUGAAAUGUUGGGUUAAGUCCCGCAACGAGCGCAACCCUUAUCCUUUGUUGCCAGCGAUUAGGUCGGGAACUCA